CCUACGGGUGGCAGCAGUGGGGAAUAUUGCGCAAUGGGCGAAAGCCUGACGCAGCGACGCCGCGUGAGGGAUGAAGGUCUUCGGAUCGUAAACCUCUGUCAGCAGGGAAGAACGGUCACUGUGCUAAUCAGCAGUGAAUUGACGGUACCUGCAAAGGAAGCUCCGGCUAACUCCGUGCCAGCAGCCGCGGUAAUACGGAGGGUGCGAGCGUUAAUCGGAAUUACUGGGCGUAAGGGGCUCGUAGGCGGUAUGUCAAGUCUGGAGUGAAAUGCCGCAGCUUAACUGCGGAACUGCUUUGGAAACUGGCGAACGAGAGUGCGGGAGGGGUAAGCGGAAUGCCUGGUGUAGCGGUGAAAUGCGUAGAUAUGAGGAGGAACACCGGUGGCGAAGGCGGCUUACUGGACCAUAACUGACGUUGAGGCGCGAAAGCGUGGGGAGCAAACAGGAUUAGAUACCCGAGUAGUC
RNAcentral lists this ribosomal RNA (465 nucleotides) under uncultured bacterium. RNAcentral's name for it is "partial 16S ribosomal RNA". It matches the Rfam family "Bacterial small subunit ribosomal RNA", at positions 338 to 795 of the family's 1533-position model. The record is from RNAcentral.